AACGAACGCUGGCGGCAGGCUUAACACAUGCAAGUCGAACGGGCAUAGCAAUACGUCAGUGGCAGACGGGUGAGUAACACGUGGGAACCUUCCUAGGGGUACGGAACAACUCAGGGAAACUUGAGCUAAUACCGUAUACGUCCGUGAGGAGAAAGAUUUAUCGCCCUUGGACGGGCCCGCGUCGGAUUAGCUAGUUGGUGGGGUAACGGCCUACCAAGGCGACGAUCCGUAGCUGAUCUGAGAGGAUGAUCAGCCACACUGGGACUGAGACACGGCCCAGACUCCUACGGGAGGCAGCAGUGGGGAAUCUUGGGCAAUGGGGCGCAAGCCUGAUCCAGCCAUGCCGCGUGAGUGAAGAAGGCCUUC
This 366-nucleotide ribosomal RNA is filed under the name uncultured bacterium. RNAcentral's name for it is "bacterial SSU rRNA". It matches the Rfam family "Bacterial small subunit ribosomal RNA", at positions 29 to 419 of the family's 1533-position model. The record is from RNAcentral.